UCCCCUUGGUUUGGGCUGAGGGGGGGGAGGGAAGCAUGAUGCUGCCUUGUUUUGGAGGCAACAGUCAUGCAAACUGUGCCCCAGGAACAGUGUUUUUACCAUGCCUAGGGCACUGUUUUUGGCUUGUGUGGA
Long non-coding RNA from Sphaerodactylus townsendi, 132 nucleotides. RefSeq lists it as uncharacterized. Lineage: Eukaryota; Metazoa; Chordata; Lepidosauria; Squamata; Sphaerodactylidae. The record is from RefSeq and is a predicted model, not a curated record. The transcript is spliced from 3 exons.